RNAcentral lists this long non-coding RNA (1370 nucleotides) under Sus scrofa (pig). RNAcentral's name for it is "lncRNA (ENSSSCG00025017725.1)". Lineage: Eukaryota; Metazoa; Chordata; Mammalia; Artiodactyla; Suidae. The record is from RNAcentral.
GGAGAAGUGAUUGACAGGACAGAGGGACGACUGAAUCCACAGUGGAGACCUCGCCGCCUAAGGAAGGAUGGAGGAGCACACAGGUGAAGGGAGAAAAGAAGUGAAACGCUUUCAGCACCCACGUUUCAGGUCAAAGUGACAUUUUAUUUCUUCGCCCCCACUGCCUAACAGGGUAGGGAUUAUUUCUCGCAUGUUACAGAUGAGGAACUGAAUUCAGGCAGGUGCCCAAGGCUACACGGUGCUUCCUGGCGGAAUGAGGAAUCUAGCUGGAGUCUGGCUUCCUCAAAACCCCUGGCCCCUGUAAACCUGCUGCCUCCAGCCCAGCUCAAAUCAUUGAUAUUCUGAUUGCAGCUCAUCAUAAACGGUAUUUACUCAAGUCCCACUGCUAAGGAUUAUUGAAGGAGAGGAAAAGAUCUUUUGAAAAUACCCUGUAACUCACAUUUUACCUGCCAGAUGGAACAGCCACAUUCCUGCAAAAAGAUCUCUUUGGUGUCUGGCUAACUAGAAGACCACUGGAUUCUGGCAUCGGAUUCUGCCUUGCAAAUUUCUGGCAACAGGCACUGGUCACCUAAGCCUGUUACCUGAGAGCCAUCUUCACUCCACCAAUGAGCGGGUCACCAAGUUCGGCUGAAGCUUAUCUUCUGCCUGCCACUCACCAGCCCCAUGUCAGCAUCACGCAGGUGGCCAGUUUUCUUUUACAACUUGGUGGACUCAAAAAGAUGCGCAACCUAAAAGUUGAGAGUCAUGUGUUUAUUCAGUGGACAAAACUGAAGCCUUAAACCCAGGAGGCAGCAUCUCAAGUAACCCCAAAACGCCGCUCUGAGGAGGCAAGAGGAAGCUAGGGUGUACAGGGAAGACAGUGGCAACAGACAAUCACUGUUAAUAGAGGAAACCAGAUAUCUCAAGUUAAGGAAUUUAGUGAUUUUCUCCAAAUGGGAAGAUGCAACGUUCUGGGCUCACUGAGAUCUUUCCUUUGCGGUACACCUCGGGUCUCUGGGGCCAGGGUCCUGUGUUCUCACAUCCUGGGGAGUGGCUGCAGUCUGAUGGCUGCUGGACAGCAGGUGUCUAUGCUUCCUUCCUGCCUCCCUCAGGGCUCCCCUGGAGGUGGCUGCCAUCGCUGAUGACUGAGACAUCUUUGUUUAUGGAUAAGGCAGGCGCUAUUUUAUGUCUCAGGUACCAAGUGGGACCCCGAAGUCUGGCUAACCCUGACUUCACGUGUUCUCAGGGUGUAGGUUACAAUCUUACGGGUCUUGGGUGUCUAAGCCUCACCCAACAGCAUCACAGGGUGGAGCGUUGCGGAGGGGAUGGCAGAGAGAAAAGGGACCAAGGAACAUUCCAUCAGCUUCCACCUGUGCUGCACUCAAGCUCUU